CCAAGGACAGUGGGACAGCUCCAUGGGAAGGUCCAAGUAGGCAUGUUUUUUUUUGUUGUUGCGAAUUUGACUACUUUUUCAUCCCUUGCACAAGCGAGUUCAGUUUGCGAAAACAAUUUGAAUUAAAGAUAUUAUCAAUUUUUGAUAAUGCCGUUUUCUACUCCGAAUGCUUGCUAUGGAAGAGAUUAUGAAGAUUUGUUGAACGUUUUGGAACACGAAUGAGGAAACGAAGACGCGUUUGUUGAAAACGCUACACCUGUUGACCCUUGGAGGACGCUAUAAUUUGUAAACAAUUGAAUUGAAAGACGUUGCCGUUGGAAGGUUCCAUGGCGUGUAUGGUGCAUGACUUCUUCAGCAGGACUAGAAUGGCACGGAGGAAAAGUGCACCGAUAGGCAAAACACAGAUAACAGGUGCUGGAGGGCAACACGAGCAAAACGAUCGCCCAAAAGCUCAUCAACUUAAUGAGUUAAUUCAUUGGCGGGUUGAUCGUUAGCCUACAAUCAACGGUUUAGCGGUUUGCUACCGUUUCAGCACAUGCCCUGGCAGAAGAUUAGCGGCCCAUUACACGAACAGGCCCGCACAAACACAAACACCAUGUACCGUGUGGAGCUUUCUCGCGUUGUAACAACGUUCGCGAUGGGAAUGUUAAUGGAUAAGCAGGUUAAGGUGGGGAGGAGUCGUGCAAGUAUAAACAUCUUAGAUGAGGCAUCUGAUGCGUGAUGAUAAAAGAAAGUGAGAGUGUUUAAAAGCUGUUUGGUAUUAUUACUGUUAAAGAGGCACGCUAACAACUUCGAUGAUCUUAAAUAAAGAAUCGAAUAUUUUUUUAAAUCA
This is a long non-coding RNA of Anopheles merus, 832 nucleotides long. RefSeq lists it as uncharacterized. NCBI's taxonomy places the organism in Eukaryota, Metazoa, Arthropoda, Insecta, Diptera, Culicidae. The record is from RefSeq and is a predicted model, not a curated record. The transcript has 4 exons.